RNAcentral lists this ribosomal RNA (254 nucleotides) under uncultured bacterium. RNAcentral describes it as "partial 16S ribosomal RNA". It matches the Rfam family "Bacterial small subunit ribosomal RNA", at positions 524 to 777 of the family's 1533-position model. The record is from RNAcentral.
UACGAAGGGGGCUAGCGUUGUUCGGAAUCACUGGGCGUAAAGCGCACGUAGGCGGAUCUUUAAGUCAGAGGUGAAAUCCCAAGGCUCAACCUUGGAACUGCCUUUGAUACUGGGGAUCUUGAGUCCGGGAGAGGUGAGUGGAACUCCGAGUGUAGAGGUGAAAUUCGUAGAUAUUCGGAAGAACACCAGUGGCGAAGGCAGGUCUCUGGGCUGUAACUGACGCUGAGGAGCGAAAGCAUGGGGAGCGAACGAGG